RNAcentral lists this ribosomal RNA (425 nucleotides) under uncultured bacterium. RNAcentral describes it as "bacterial SSU rRNA". It matches the Rfam family "Bacterial small subunit ribosomal RNA", at positions 354 to 796 of the family's 1533-position model. The record is from RNAcentral.
GUGGGGAAUAUUGCGCAAUGGGGGAAACCCUGACGCAGCAACGCCGCGUGAAGGAUGAAGGUUUUCGGAUUGUAAACUUCUUUGAUUGGGGAAGAUAAUGACGGUACCCAAAAAACAAGCCACGGCUAACUACGUGCCAGCAGCCGCGGUAAUACGUAGGUGGCGAGCGUUGUCCGGAAUUACUGGGUGUAAAGGGCGUGUAGGCGGGAAUGCAAGUCAGAUGUGAAAUUCCGAGGCUUAACCUCGGCGCUGCAUCUGAAACUGUGUUUCUUGAGUGCUGGAGAGGAAAGCGGAAUUCCUAGUGUAGCGGUGAAAUGCGUAGAUAUUAGGAGGAACACCAGUGGCGAAGGCGGCUUUCUGGACAGUAACUGACGCUGAGGCGCGAAAGCGUGGGGAGCAAACAGGAUUAGAAACCCCAGUAGUCC